Non-coding RNA from Styela clava, 381 nucleotides. NCBI's taxonomy places the organism in Eukaryota, Metazoa, Chordata, Ascidiacea, Stolidobranchia, Styelidae. The record is from RefSeq and is a predicted model, not a curated record.
GGGAGAUGGCAGUUCACGCAUGCUAUGAAGUUUUUGGAGCCACAUGUCCAGCCAAGAAGGUCAGUCAGUUUUCAGUACUUCUGGGAAUUUGACAACGGAUUCAAGUGAAAUUGAUGAAGAAGGAUCUUCUGAGAAAGUUCAGUUGUCAAUUCAGUCGCCUAGUUAUACAGAUUCAAUCGAUUAUACCAAUUCGACUCCAAAACGCCCCGCAAAAAUACACCUGAUAAAAUAGAUGAGGCCAUCCUGGAAUGUGUGAGAGAUAGCAAAACGAGGCAAGGAUGAGAGAAACCGAGGCAAGGAUGAAAGAAGCAGGUCGUUUGUCAAAUGCGAAAUACAGAGAAUGUGCAUGAGGCCAAAUAUGGGAAUCUAGGCACGUAACAU